GGACCAGGUUGAAACCUCUAGACUUGAAAGCUCUCCAAGACGAUGACAGAUCUGCAUGACUAACUGGAGAGUCUCGUCUCGCAAUAAUGUGCCUUUUGUUGCUGAACCCUUUCCAGUCUCAGCUGCAUUGCCAGGACAGAAUAAAAUAGGACAUUCCGCAUUUCAGCACGCUAAACCUUGAAUAUCAUUUCCAUUAUCUUAGCACAGUCAUUUAGGAGGCCCAUUCGUUCCUUACAACACAAAGGACAGCUUUCCAAUGUAUUUUAUAUAUUCCCUAUUGAAUCAGUCAUAAAGUUAAUGUUGCACAGUAUUGUAUCUGCAUCCAUAAAAUGGAGGACAAAAUACAGCAAACAGCUUCCUUCAGGCCCUGCCCUUCUCCAAGAGGUUUCCAGUCAAUGGCAUGAGAGGAACUCAGUCUGGUGUUUGUUUAUUUGGAUAAUUUCAUUUCAGAGCUGGUAUUCAGAGAGCAGUACUAGUCUGACCUCUCAUAAUGAGGAAUGGCUUCUUAUAUUAGCAGUGAGGACUAGUCCUAUCUGAAACCUACUCAUUUAGUGGAACAACUAUGGAAGCAGCGUCCCUGGAGAGUAUUACAGCCAUGAAAUAAUUAUCUGCCUCACCAGGUGAGUUGCAUGUUGUCCAUAGCUGGACUAUGAGCACAGCUGUCAGAAAUAAAUUAGAUCGACAGAGUAAAAGUCUAUUCUGAAAUGAAAGAAAAAAUUAUUUAGGAAGAAAAACGUACACCAGAGAAGCCUUUAUGUUUGGAUAAUUCCACAAAAAUAGUUUCAGUUUAGCAAGGAAAAUUAAUUGUCUGCUUUACUGGCAUCUCUGCAAACUUUCUCCCUGGGAACAAAGAACCAGGACUGGGAGAUUCCCUCCUACAUGGGACUU
Long non-coding RNA from Pezoporus flaviventris, 888 nucleotides. RefSeq lists it as uncharacterized. Lineage: Eukaryota; Metazoa; Chordata; Aves; Psittaciformes; Psittacidae. The record is from RefSeq and is a predicted model, not a curated record. The transcript has 3 exons.